RNAcentral lists this ribosomal RNA (482 nucleotides) under Clathrus archeri. RNAcentral's name for it is "partial small subunit ribosomal RNA". It matches the Rfam family "Bacterial small subunit ribosomal RNA", at positions 370 to 922 of the family's 1533-position model. Lineage: Eukaryota; Fungi; Basidiomycota; Agaricomycetes; Phallales; Clathraceae. The record is from RNAcentral.
AAUGCUCGCAAGAGUGAACUAGCUAACUGGAAUCAUGAGUGUGUCACUUGUGAUAAGGUAAAGGAAAAAUUAUGAUGUCACUUUACUAUUAGUGUUGUCCAAAGCUGGUGCCAGAAGACUCGGUAAGGCCAGAGACGCAAGCGUUAGUCAUCCUGAUCAGGCGUAAAGGGUUUGUAGGCAGCUUUAAAUUAAUUAAAGAUAGAAUCAUAUAGAGGUCACAGUCAGAUAAUUCUUAGAGUAGGGUUGAUAUCUGUAGAUACUAAGAGGAAUACUUAUUAGCGAAGGCACUUUUCCAAAUUAUGAUUGACGCUGAGAAACGAAGGGGAGGAUAGAUAAUAGGAUUAGAUACCCUGGUAUUCCUCUCUGUCAACGAUGAAUGGUAGUUGCUAGUAUACUAUAUUAGUGGCGAUGCUAACGCGUUAACCAUUCCGCCUUGUGAGUACGAUUGCAAAAUUGAAAACAAAAAAAUUAGUCGGUUUCGG